This 313-nucleotide unclassified non-coding RNA is filed under the name uncultured fungus. Its description in RNAcentral is "partial contains small subunit ribosomal RNA, internal transcribed spacer 1, and 5.8S ribosomal RNA". The stretch from base 1 to 73 matches the Rfam family "Eukaryotic small subunit ribosomal RNA", at positions 1759 to 1831 of the family's 1831-position model. Lineage: Eukaryota; Fungi. The record is from RNAcentral.
GCAAACUUGGUCAUUUAGAGGAAGUAAAAGUCGUAACAAGGUUUCCGUAGGUGAACCUGCGGAAGGAUCAUUAACGAGUUAGGGUCUUCUCGGCCCGACCUCCCAACCCUUUGUUUACUUGACCAUUGUUGCUUCGGCGAGCCCGUCUUUACUGACCGCCGGGGGACCGUAAGAAGUCCUCUGGUCCGUGCUCGUCGGUGGCCAACUCUUAUAAAUUCUUAACUAAACGUGUCAUUAUCUAAGUACUAUUGUUAAUUAAAGCAAAACUUUCAACAACGGAUCUCUUGGUUCUGGCAUCGAUGAAGAACGCAGC